RNAcentral lists this long non-coding RNA (299 nucleotides) under Elaeis guineensis (African oil palm). RNAcentral's name for it is "long non-coding RNA (EGUI_LNC010713)". Lineage: Eukaryota; Viridiplantae; Streptophyta; Magnoliopsida; Arecales; Arecaceae. The record is from RNAcentral.
GAUUAAGGCUUAGUUGAGUUGAGAGAAGUAAUCAUGGGAAAAAGCAGUUACAAUUUGUUCUUAAUAACAAACCAUAAAAAAUAAGAUGCGCUAGGAAUCAUUAAUUUUUCCAUAGGCAAAUUAGCUCUUGUAUCAUAGCCUUCACUACCUUCUACCAACUAUAUUGAGAUUUCCACAACCAAUGUGAAUUUAAAUCAUUAAGCACAAAAUAAAUUAAGAAAUCAUGAAGUUAUUAUAUAUAUGUACAUUGUUCUGCUCCAUUUUUCUGGACCUAUCGGAGAAAAGGUCAAGUCACACCA